RNAcentral lists this ribosomal RNA (400 nucleotides) under uncultured bacterium. RNAcentral describes it as "bacterial SSU rRNA". It matches the Rfam family "Bacterial small subunit ribosomal RNA", at positions 355 to 748 of the family's 1533-position model. The record is from RNAcentral.
UCGAGAAUCAUUCACAAUGGGGGCAACCCUGAUGGUGCGACGCCGCGUGGAGGAUAAGGUCUUCGGAUUGUAAACUCCUGUCAUGCGAGAGCAAGAUUUGAGCGGGUAACUCCGCUGGAUUUGAUAGUAUCGCAAGAGGAAGAGACGGCUAACUCUGUGCCAGCAGCCGCGGUAAUACAGAGGUCUCAAGCGUUGUUCGGAAUCACUGGGCGUAAAGGGUGCGUAGGUGGCGUGGAAAGUCAGAUGUGAAAUCCGGGGGCUCAACCUCCGAAUAGCAUCCGAUACUCCCAUGCUAGAGAACUGGAGGGGGAUCUGGAAUUCUCGGUGUAGCAGUGAAAUGCGUAGAUAUCGAGAGGAACACUAGUGGCGAAGGCGAGAUCCUGGACAGUAUCUGACACUG